AUACGUAGGGUGCGAGCGUUGUCCGGAAUUACUGGGCGUAAAGAGCUCGUAGGUGGUUUGUCGCGUCGUCUGUGAAAUUCCGGGGCUUAACUCCGGGCGUGCAGGCGAUACGGGCAUAACUUGAGUACUGUAGGGGAGACUGGAAUUCCUGGUGUAGCGGUGAAAUGCGCAGAUAUCAGGAGGAACACCGGUGGCGAAGGCGGGUCUCUGGGCAGUAACUGACGCGGAGGAGCGAAAGCAUGGGUAGCGAACAGGAUUAGAUACCCUGGUAGUCCAUGCCGUAAGCGGUGGGCGCUAGGUGUAGGGGUCUUCCACGACUUCUGUGCCGUAGCUAACGCAUUAAGCGCCCCGCCUGGGGAGUACGGCCGCAAGGCUAAAACUCAAAUGAAUUGACGGGG
RNAcentral lists this ribosomal RNA (398 nucleotides) under uncultured bacterium. RNAcentral describes it as "partial 16S ribosomal RNA". It matches the Rfam family "Bacterial small subunit ribosomal RNA", at positions 523 to 918 of the family's 1533-position model. The record is from RNAcentral.